RNAcentral lists this ribosomal RNA (497 nucleotides) under uncultured bacterium. RNAcentral's name for it is "partial 16S ribosomal RNA". It matches the Rfam family "Bacterial small subunit ribosomal RNA", at positions 28 to 507 of the family's 1533-position model. The record is from RNAcentral.
GAUGAACGCUGGCGGCGUGCCUAAUACAUGCAAGUCGAGCGAACAGACGAGGAGCUUGCUCCUCUGACGUUAGCGGCGGACGGGUGAGUAACACGUGGAUAACCUACCUAUAAGACUGGGAUAACUUCGGGAAACCGGAGCUAAUACCGGAUAAUAUAUUGAACCGCAUGGGUCAAUAGUGAAAGACGGUUUUGCUGUCACUUAUAGAUGGAUCCGCGCCGCAUUAGCUAGUUGGUAAGGUAACGGCUUACCAAGGCAACGAUGCGUAGCCGACCUGUGAGGGUGAUCGGCCACACGGGAACUGAGACACGGUCCAGACUCCUACGGGAGGCAGCAGUAGGGAAUCUUCCGCAAUGGGCGAAAGCCUGACGGAGCAACGCCGCGUGAGUGAUGAAGGUCUUCGGAUCGUAAAACUCUGUUAUUAGGGAAGAACAAAUGUGUAAGUAACUAUGCACGUCUUGACGGUACCUAAUCAGAAAGCCACGGCUAACUACGUG